Molecule: ribosomal RNA, 253 nt
Filed under: uncultured bacterium
Lineage: Bacteria
Description: partial 16S ribosomal RNA
Rfam family: Bacterial small subunit ribosomal RNA
Source: RNAcentral
UACGUAGGGUGCAAGCGUUGUCCGGAAUUAUUGGGCGUAAAGAGCUCGUAGGCGGUCUGUCGCGUCGGAUGUGAAAACCCAGGGCUCAGCCCUGGGCCUGCAUUCGAUACGGGCAGACUAGAGUUCGGUAGGGGAGACUGGAAUUCCUGGUGUAGCGGUGAAAUGCGCAGAUAUCAGGAGGAACACCGGUGGCGAAGGCGGGUCUCUGGGCCGAAACUGACGCUGAGGAGCGAAAGCGUGGGGAGCAAACAGG